AUUGAGGGCAUUUCAAUAAAGAACUGCGAAUCUCGUCAGGUUCGAAAGAAAGCAGCGAUAAGUAGUUGCCUUUAUGUGAAUAAGUGCCUUCAAUGAA
RNAcentral lists this signal recognition particle RNA (97 nucleotides) under Clostridiales bacterium. Its description in RNAcentral is "signal recognition particle sRNA small type". It matches the Rfam family "Bacterial small signal recognition particle RNA". From Rfam's summary of the family: The signal recognition particle (SRP) is a universally conserved ribonucleoprotein involved in the co-translational targeting of proteins to membranes. The record is from RNAcentral. Lineage: Bacteria; Bacillati; Bacillota; Clostridia; Eubacteriales.